CGUCUGCGCACGCUGCAGCCGCCGCCUGGACCGGGGACCCACCGCAGUUCUGGGGUGAAGCACGGCCGCACGCAGGUGUGGCCGAGCCGGGCGAGUUCCCCGCCCGAACCCGUCAGCUAACUCGGUAGGCGGUUGAGGAGAACAA
RNAcentral lists this small RNA (145 nucleotides) under Modestobacter sp. VKM Ac-2676. RNAcentral's name for it is "c-di-AMP riboswitch aptamer (ydaO/yuaA leader)". It matches the Rfam family "c-di-AMP riboswitch aptamer (ydaO/yuaA leader)". From Rfam's summary of the family: This family represents a conserved RNA structure found upstream of the ydaO and yuaA genes in Bacillus subtilis and related genes in other bacteria. The ydaO/yuaA element is thought to act as a genetic "off" switch for the ydaO and yuaA genes in its native state. Lineage: Bacteria; Bacillati; Actinomycetota; Actinomycetes; Geodermatophilales; Geodermatophilaceae. RNAcentral also lists the same sequence under 1 other name. The record is from Rfam by way of RNAcentral.